GAUGAACGCUGGCGGCGUGCCUAAUACAUGCAAGUCGAACGCAUUGUGGUUGAAAUGAUAUGAAGAACUUGUUCAGAUUUGAUUUUCAACAUUGCAAUGAGUGGCGAACGGGUGAGUAACACGUGGGAAACCUACCUCUUAGCAGGGGAUAACAUUUGGAAACAAAUGCUAAUACCGUAUAAUAAUUAAAAACCGCAUGGUUUUAGUUUAAAAGAUGGUCUUGCUAUCACUAAGAGAUGGUCCCGCGGUGUAUUAGUUAGUUGGUGAGGUAAUGGCUCACCAAGACAAUGAUACAUAGCCGAAGUUGAGAGACUGACCGGCACAAUGGGACUGAGACACGGCCCAUACUCCUACGGGA
Molecule: ribosomal RNA, 358 nt
Filed under: uncultured bacterium
Lineage: Bacteria
Description: bacterial SSU rRNA
Rfam family: Bacterial small subunit ribosomal RNA
Source: RNAcentral